GAUGAACGCUGGCGGCGUGCUUAACACAUGCAAGUCGAACGGAAAGGCCCAAGCUUGCUUGGGUACUCGAGUGGCGAACGGGUGAGUAACACGUGGGUGAUCUGCCCUGCACUUCGGGAUAAGCCUGGGAAACUGGGUCUAAUACCGGAUAGGACCACUUCUUGGAUGUUGUGGUGGAAAGUUUUCUCGGUGUGGGAUGAGCUCGCGGCCUAUCAGCUUGUUGGUGGGGUAAUGGCCUACCAAGGCGUCGACGGGUAGCCGGCCUGAGAGGGUGUACGGCCACAUUGGGACUGAGAUACGGCCCAGACUCCUACGGGAGGCAGCAGUGGGGAAUAUUGCACAAUGGGCGCAAGCCUGAUGCAGCGACGCCGCGUGGGGGAUGACGGCCUUUGGGUUGUAAACUCCUUUCGCUAGGGACGAAGCGUUUUUGUGACGGUACCUGGAGAAGAAGCACCGGCUAACUACGUG
This 468-nucleotide ribosomal RNA is filed under the name uncultured bacterium. Its description in RNAcentral is "partial 16S ribosomal RNA". It matches the Rfam family "Bacterial small subunit ribosomal RNA", at positions 28 to 507 of the family's 1533-position model. The record is from RNAcentral.